AAAAAAAAGAAAAAAAACAACCACUAAACCCUAAACCCCUCUUUUCUCUCACCACCAAGAAACAAAACAAUUCUCCAUUAUCAGUUAUCACCUCCACUCAAAGUCAAUUCGAUCUAGAAAAAAUUAUAUCCAUCAAUGGCGUCAAAAUGCGGCAGAUUCAUGAACAGAGCGUCAUUAUCUUCUCUUAAAUCCUCCAUUAAAAACGCUGCUAAAUCUGCAUCGUCUUCCCCAAAACCCGCUGCAUCUCCUCUUCCUAGAUCCACUUCCUCACCUCUUCCUCGAUUCAGCUUCUCAAGAUUGCCGAAGGAGUUGGGAGGAGCGCAGUCGCUGCUGCCGCUGCACAGCGCCGUAUCAGUGGCGAGGCUGACGUCAUGCUUAAGUACGACUUCCAGGAGUGCCAGAGCUCUCUCACAGGGUACACUCUGCCGUACCUCUCCCGACCUCUAAUAUUCUUAUUUUUAGGCACAUAAUAUCAAUAUGCUUGAAAGAAAUAUAUGGUCAUGGAACCUGCCAAUCAUGAACCCUCGCGUCAUUCUCAAAUGAAAUUGAUGGUACGUGAGAGGUGUGGAGGUUGCUCAAUUCACCAGUGCUUCCAUGUUCCUUAGCUAUAUUGAUUUACCAAUAUAGUAUGUCUGAUGCAAAAGUCAUAUCUGUACAUUCUUUUGGAGCAAAUCUGUAGCAGUGCAGAUGAAACUUUUUUUCUUCUUUAUGACAACAGCUUACCGGAUUUAAGUCAAAAGACCAUAUUCAAUCAUAAUUAGUGAUAUUGAAGUGCUACUUCUCAUAGCAGUUUCUGAUCAAUAUUUAUUUUCUGUUUGCUCUAGAGCUUGGUCUGUCCGUACCCAGGUGACUGUUAGCAGAUCAUCGCUAAUUCCAGAAGCUGUCUGCAUUUGAUUGGAAAAACAACUCUUUGCUACCAAAAAAGUUAAAUGUAAACUGUACAAAUCCUCUAAUCAGCAUCAUUGAAUUUCUUUGCUGAUCAAAUAUUGGAUGUAAAGGUACUUACUUUUGAAAGUUUAACCACUGGAAUAAUUUGGCAUUCUUGCAUUUUUAUUUUUUA
RNA transcript from Spinacia oleracea (spinach), 1060 nucleotides. It is a transcript of the gene named protein NONRESPONDING TO OXYLIPINS 2, mitochondrial, with no coding region annotated. The record is from RefSeq and is a predicted model, not a curated record. Lineage: Eukaryota; Viridiplantae; Streptophyta; Magnoliopsida; Caryophyllales; Amaranthaceae. The transcript has 4 exons.